RNAcentral lists this transfer RNA (75 nucleotides) under Thiomicrospira cyclica ALM1. RNAcentral describes it as "tRNA-Arg (CCG) (tRNA-Arg-CCG-1-1)". It matches the Rfam family "tRNA". Rfam says of the family: Transfer RNA (tRNA) molecules are approximately 80 nucleotides in length. Their secondary structure includes four short double-helical elements and three loops (D, anti-codon, and T loops). Further hydrogen bonds mediate the characteristic L-shaped molecular structure. tRNAs have two regions of fundamental functional importance: the anti-codon, which is responsible for specific mRNA codon recognition, and the 3' end, to which the tRNAs corresponding amino acid is attached (by aminoacyl-tRNA synthetases). tRNAs cope with the degeneracy of the genetic code in two manners: having more than one tRNA (with a specific anti-codon) for a particular amino acid; and 'wobble' base-pairing, i.e. permitting non-standard base-pairing at the 3rd anti-codon position. The record is from RNAcentral. Lineage: Bacteria; Pseudomonadati; Pseudomonadota; Gammaproteobacteria; Thiotrichales; Piscirickettsiaceae.
GCGCUUAUAGUGAAAUGGAUAUCACGAGGCCCUCCGGAGGCCUAAGUGGAGGUUCGAUUCCUCCUAAGCGCACCA